RNAcentral lists this ribosomal RNA (253 nucleotides) under uncultured bacterium. Its description in RNAcentral is "partial 16S ribosomal RNA". It matches the Rfam family "Bacterial small subunit ribosomal RNA", at positions 524 to 776 of the family's 1533-position model. The record is from RNAcentral.
UACGAGGGGUGCAAGCGUUGCUCGGAAUUAUUGGGCGUAAAGGGUAGGUAGGUGGUCUCAUUUGUCAGGGGUGAAAGCCUUGGGCUUAACCUAAGAAGUGCCCCUGAAACGGUGAGACUGGAGUCCUGGAGAGGGUCGUGGAAUUCCCGGUGUAGCGGUGAAAUGCGUAGAGAUCGGGAGGAACACCAGAGGCGAAGGCGGCGACCUGGACAGGAACUGACACUCAACUACGAAAGCGUGGGUAGCAAACAGG